GAGUUUGAUCGUGGCUCAGAGCGAACGCUGGCGGCAGGCCUAACACAUGCAAGUCGAGCGGCCGUAGCAAUACGGCAGCGGCAGACGGGAGAGUAACACGUGGGAACGCGCCCUUCGGUUCGGAAUAACUCAGGGAACUUGAGCUAAUACCGGAUACGCCCUUACGGGAAGAUUUAUUGCCGAAGGAACGGCCCGCGUCCGAUUAGCUAGUUGGUGAGGUAAUGGCUCACCAAGGCGACGAUCGGUAGCUGGUCUGAGAGGAUGACCAGCCUCACUGGGAUUGAGACACGGCCCAGACUCCUACGGGAGGCAGCAGUGGGGAAUAUUGGACAAUGGGCGCAAGCCUGAUCCAGCCAUGCCGCGUGGAUGAUGAAGGCCCUAGGGUUGUAAAGUCCUUUUAACGGGGAAGAUAAUGACGGUACCCGUAGAAUAAGCCCCGGCUAACUUCGUGCCAGCCGCCGCAGUAAG
Molecule: ribosomal RNA, 468 nt
Filed under: uncultured bacterium
Lineage: Bacteria
Description: bacterial SSU rRNA
Rfam family: Bacterial small subunit ribosomal RNA
Source: RNAcentral